UAAAGAAUUUCGGUAUGGGAUGGGGAUGCGUUCCAUUAGUUAGUUGGCGGGGUAGCGGCCCACCAAGACAACGAUGGAUAGGGGUUCUGAGAGGAAGGUCCCCCACAUUGGAACUGAGACACGGUCCAAACUCCUACGGGAGGCAGCAGUGAGGAAUAUUGGUCAAUGGACGAGAGUCUGAACCAGCCAAGUAGCGUGAAGGAUGACUGCCCUAUGGGUUGUAAACUUCUUUUAUAUGGGAAUAAAAUGUUCCACGUGUGGGAUUUUGUAUGUACCAUAUGAAUAAGGAUCGGCUAACUCCGUGCCAGCAGCCGCGGUAAUACGGAGGAUCCGAGCGUUAUCCGGAUUUAUUGGGUUUAAAGGGAGCGUAGGUGGAUUGUUAAGUCAGUUGUGAAAGUUUGCGGCUCAACCGUAAAACUGCAGUUGAAACUGGCAGUCUUGAGUACAGUAGAGGUGGGCGGAAUUCGUGGUGUAGCGGUGAAAUGCUUAGAUAUCACGAAGAACUCCGAUUGCGAAGGCAGCUCACUGGACUGCAACUGACACUGAGGCUCGAAAGUGUGGGUAUCAAACAGGAUUAGAUACCCUGGUAGUCCACACAGUAAACGAUGAAUACUCG
Molecule: ribosomal RNA, 616 nt
Filed under: uncultured bacterium
Lineage: Bacteria
Description: bacterial SSU rRNA
Rfam family: Bacterial small subunit ribosomal RNA
Source: RNAcentral